AUGGGAAACCCUGUUGAUGCACCUAAACCCUAUCAAUGGAUAUGGAAAUCAUGCUCUUUACCAAAGCAGAAAUUCUUCUUCUGGCUCUUGUUACAAGACAGAUUAAACACUAGAGAUCUACUAAAAAGGAAGAAUUUCUACAUUGAGACUAGUAAGUGUGAAUUAUGUGAUGAUGAACCUAAUGAACAUUUAAUGCAUCUGUUUUUUAGCUGUGAUUUCAGUCAAAACUUCUGGAUGAACAUUGGCUACCAAUGGAACACUGAUCAUAACCUCAUAGAAAUGCUCCUGGAGGGAAGGAAGCAAGAUACACAUGGAUGCUUUAAAGAAUGUCUGAUUGCUGGAUGCUGGAGUCUAUGGAAACACAGAAAUAGCAUAAUUUUUGACAACAAGGUCAAAAAUAUGACAUUCUGUAUUGCCACUUUCAAGGAGCACUUUUGCAUGAUUAUAAAGAAGGCAAAACCAGGAUUGAAAGAGGGCAUGCAAAGCUGGCUAGAUCAUUUGUAG
RNAcentral lists this ribosomal RNA (504 nucleotides) under Triticum aestivum (bread wheat). RNAcentral's name for it is "partial small subunit ribosomal RNA". Lineage: Eukaryota; Viridiplantae; Streptophyta; Magnoliopsida; Poales; Poaceae. The record is from RNAcentral.